Molecule: ribosomal RNA, 566 nt
Filed under: uncultured Glomeromycotina
Lineage: Eukaryota; Fungi; Glomeromycota
Description: SSU rRNA
Rfam family: Eukaryotic small subunit ribosomal RNA
Source: RNAcentral
UUGGAGGGCAAGUCUGGUGCCCGCAGCCGCGGUAAUUCCAGCUCCAAUAGCGUAUAUUAAAGUUGUUGCAGUUAAAAAGCUCGUAGUUGAAUUUCGGGAUCAAUGUUUCGGUCAUGCCGUUGGUAUGUACUGAUAUUAUUGAUUUCUCACCUUCUAAAGAACCGUAAUGCCAUUAAUUUGGUGUCACGGGGAAUUAGGACUGUUACCUUGAAAAAAUUAGAGUGUUUAAAGCAGGCUCACGCUUGAAUACAUUAGCAUGGAAUAAUGAGAUAGGACAUCCGAUUCUAUUUUGUUGGUUUCUAGGAUCGAUGUAAUGAUUAAUAGGGAUAGUUGGGGGCAUUAGUAUUCAAUUGCCAGAGGUGAAAUUCUUGGAUUUAUUGAAGACUAACUACUGCGAAAGCAUUUGCCAAGGAUGUUUUCAUUAAUCAAGAACGAAAGUUAGGGGAUCGAAGACGAUCAGGUACCGUCGUAGUCUCAACCAUAAACUAUGCCGACUAGGGAUCGGAUGAUGUUAAUUUUUUAAUGACUCAUUCGGCGCCUUACGGGAAACCAAAGUGUUUGGGUUC